CUUUCUUUGCUGGCGACCGGCGCACGGGUGAGUAACACGUAUCCAACCUGCCCUUUACUCGGGGAUAGCCUUUCGAAAGAAAGAUUAAUACCCGAUAGCAUAAUGAUUCCGCAUGGUUUCAUUAUUAAAGGAUUCCGGUAAAGGAUGGGGAUGCGCUCCAUUAGGUCGUUGGUGGGGUAACGGCCCACCAAGCCUUCGAUGGAUAGGGGUUCUGAGAGGAAGGUCCCCCACAUUGGAACUGAGACACGGUCCAA
RNAcentral lists this ribosomal RNA (254 nucleotides) under uncultured bacterium. Its description in RNAcentral is "partial 16S ribosomal RNA". It matches the Rfam family "Bacterial small subunit ribosomal RNA", at positions 79 to 334 of the family's 1533-position model. The record is from RNAcentral.